UGGCGUGUUAUUUUGGCGGACAAGGAGGGCCGUAUGUAUUAAGAAAUUUUUUAAUCGACUUGACUUUCAACCCGUGCUUUGUGAGGUAGUGAGGAUUUUAUGCGACGACAUGACGAUGAUAUGCAUGUAAAAGUGAGCCACAAUUGCAUAAUAACUUCAAGUUUAUAAAACUAUAAAUACUAUAAUGGGAGUUCCUAGUAUUUGACAGUCCAGCUCGAACAACAGACGAUUGUGUUGUUCACUUAUAGAACCUAGAUGUAUGGCGCUGGUUGUAUGGCUAACAAAAGAAGCAGCUUAUUUGAAGAACUCCUUUGAGCCCAUGAGGAUAUGUGAUGAUAUUCUAUGACGGCAAGUCCAUGAGUUGUGA
Molecule: long non-coding RNA, 367 nt
Filed under: Amborella trichopoda
Lineage: Eukaryota; Viridiplantae; Streptophyta; Magnoliopsida; Amborellales; Amborellaceae
Description: long non-coding RNA (ATRI_LNC001266)
Source: RNAcentral